UACGUAGGUCGCAAGCGUUGUCCGGAUUUACUGGGCGUAAAGAGCGCGCAGGCGGCUGGUCAAGUCCGAUGGGAAAUCUCCCGGCUCAACUGGGAAACUGCAUCGGAAACUGAUCGGCUUGAAGAUGGGAGAGGGUAGUGGAAUUCCAGGUGUAGCGGUGAAAUGCGUAGAUAUCUGGAGGAACACCGGUGGCGAAGGCGGCAUCCUGGACCGACACUGACGCUGAGGAGCGAAAGCCAGGGGAGCAAACGGG
This 253-nucleotide ribosomal RNA is filed under the name uncultured bacterium. RNAcentral's name for it is "partial 16S ribosomal RNA". It matches the Rfam family "Bacterial small subunit ribosomal RNA", at positions 524 to 776 of the family's 1533-position model. The record is from RNAcentral.